This 400-nucleotide ribosomal RNA is filed under the name uncultured bacterium. RNAcentral's name for it is "partial 16S ribosomal RNA". It matches the Rfam family "Bacterial small subunit ribosomal RNA", at positions 360 to 776 of the family's 1533-position model. The record is from RNAcentral.
AAUAUUUGACAAUGGGCGCAAGCCUGAUGCAGCAACGCCGCGUGCGCGACGAAGGNCUNNGGGUCNUNAAGCGCGUUUCGGGGNNNNNAGCACGGACAGUAGCCCCGGAAGUAGGACCGGCGAACUACGUGCCAGCAGCCGCGGGAAAACCUAUGACCCGAGCCUUAUUCGAAUUCACUGGGCGUAAAGCGCAUGCAGGCGGCCGGACAAGUUGGAUGUGAAAUCUCCCGGCUCAACUGGGAGGGGACGUUCAAAACUGUGCGGCUCGAGGGCGGUAGAGGAAGGUAGAAUUCACGGUGUAGUGGUGAAAUGCGUAGAUAUCGGGAGGAAUACCCGUGGCGAAGGCGACCUUCUGGACCGUUUCUGACGCUCAGAUGCGAAAGCUAGGGGAGCGAACGGG